AUCCCUCUCUCAUCUUCCCUUCUUUCAUUUCUUCCCCCCACCCCACCCCACGCGAAACACAUAGUCAGCCACUCUUUUUGCGAUUUUCCUACAUAACGCCCUAGCCUCCACAACCACCUCUGUAGGCCGUAGUGGGUGCGUCCAUCCUCUCUCUCCUAGGGCCACAGUAAGCCUCUCUCUCUCUUCUCCCUAUGUUUUCUAUCUCUAUUGGUGGUAUGAUUGUGUAAAAUUUUUGAUGAUAUGAUUGUGUAAUAUUUCUAUAAUGUUGUGACGAUAUUGUAUUCCCAAAUCUCCACCUUUGUUUUUUUCAGGCAUUAUUAUAUUGUUAUAGUGGAGAGUCUUCCUUUUUCACAACUCUGUUGUGAUUGUCAUUGCAUUGCCUUACUUGUGUUUUGUUUAUGUCUAUUGGGAUAAAUAUUUUAUGCUUCUAUUUUGGGAUGCUGGAGAAGAAAAAUGAAGGCUUGUUUUUAUGUUUUCUAAAUUGUAGUUGUGCAUAGAGUAAUGAUACAUGCCUGUUUUUAAUAUUCUUUGCUUACACAGUAUGCCGGCAUAAAACUUGAAAUCCAGAAAAAUAAAUAAAAAUAGUAUUUUUAUUUGGAAGUAGACAUUGAUUGUAAAAUGGGUUGUAAAAUAGUCAUAUUGAUAUCAUUAUUCUUCAGCAUAAGAAAUUUCUUAAAGUCUUUUAUUCUCUCUGUUUUUUUUUUCCUAAAGUUUUUUUUGGACACUACCGAAAGCUAUUCUAUCUCUUGGUUUCCAUAGUUUUGUUUAUCUUUAAAGUGAACAUAUUUUACCUCAAUUUCUAUCUUUUUUUGAGGGAGGAGAUAGUUUUUUAGUGUCACCAUUUCUUGCCCAAUUAUUAUUAAGGAGUUAAACAAUUGCACAUCUACACUUAUAUGGACAACAUGAUGUGGAAGCUGAACAUUUCUUGGACUCAAGUCAAAGGUUUUAUGUUGUUUCUUCUUGAAUAUAAGUGUACAAGUGUCAAUUGUAAGUGUUGCAAUACUAAAUAAGUCCCCUAAUGUUGCAGCCAAUGAUUCGCUUUACCUUUUUGGUGUCUCUUGAGAUUUUUUUUUCUUUUGAUUAUGCUAAAAUCUGGACAGCUAUUGGAAGCCUCUGAUUAACUUCGAAGUUAUUCAUUCAUUUGUUUACUUAUGAAUUAUAAUUUUUACAAUUUCCAUCGCUGCCGUUGUCAAUAUUGCUACUACUUUUUUUGCUAAACAUGGUAGAUUGAUUGCUUAUUCUUUUGUGGAGUUUGUCCUAAUUAUUGUGAAUACAUUUAAGUUGAAUAUGUCAUAUGUUUGUUGCUCUUUCCCCAUCUUUUUGGGGAUAAUUCUGGUAUUUCUCACAUGGACUUGCUGUGGCUGUACCUUGGCAUUCUAAGCUCCCAGCCACUAGCAAUUUCUAUGAUCAAGGUAAACAUCUAGCCAUCACUUUUGAUUGGCUAUGCUUUUGAGUUUUUACUUUUUGACACUUGAGAAACUACUUUAUGCAAGAACUAUGCAGAUGCAGUAACCAUUAGAUAAUAAAAGAAAGAAAAAAAAAAUGGAAAAUUUUGGGCCUAAUUUCCUCCUGGACCUAGAUAGCAGAGUACUAUGAUAUUAUUGAGUUAAUUUGUUAUGCUUUUGCACUCUUUAUUAAACCCAUUUUGCAUGUAAUACUUCUUGGCUUGUUAUAAAGUCCCUCACUUCAUGUACAACCCAUUCAUUGGUCUUACCAAUCAGCAGUCUUAUUUCCUUUCCUCCACUACACUGUUAAUGAUAUAAGGGGCGUAUAUAUGAUUUUCAACCAUUUAUUUCAGAACCCUCCAAACAUUGUCAAAAUAUCCCUUAAUCUGAUUAGGAUCAAUUAAGCCAUAGUGUAACAGCUUUAAUUUCUUCAAGGAAAUUAUAUAUAAAGUGGCAGGAGAAAAUUUUAGCCCCAGUGGAAUGACUUACUCCACAAUGUUCUUAUUUCUUACUCACUUAGAUGUGCUUGUCUGUAUGUAUGAUUUGCAACAUGAAAUAGAAAUUUUUAUUGAAAACUUUGAAUAAGACACCAAAUGGAUUUUUGGAUGGGUUUUAAUUUGUUUCACAUUUUAGAGCAGAAAGACUAGAGUACUGCUUAAUGUUAUAUGGCCUUGUACAUUCUCCUUUUUCAUAGAAAUAUUUUUAGGCACGUGUAAUUUAAGAUAAAUAAAAUUAGUAGCUUCUAGGAUACAUUUGUAAUUCAUAUUGCUCACAAGCCUUUAUUUUUUGACCCCAGCGGCCCCUAAUACAAGUAAGCCCUGAUUAUGUUCCUUUUUGGAAUGAUGUAUUGUCUGGAUCAUUUUACCAUGAUAGCUACUAAUGUUAUUGAUGUGCACAAGAAAAUGCAUGCAAAACUAACUAGUACUUUCAAUAUCUAUAAGUUCUGUCAUAUUUUUUAGAUUGAAAGUAGGAAUACCAAUGGCCAUGUCACUAUUCAUUUGUACCAAUUGAUUCUUACUAGAGCUUAAAUAUAAGCAUGUUUGAUGCAAGAAACUUGUACAGGGAUAGAGAACAUCUAAUACGUAUGGUUACUCACAGUUUAUAAUACAAGGGAGACAUUGAGUCUAAAACGUACAAAGCAAUCACAAUUAGGUUCACCUUUACCUACCCACAAACACAAUGCAGAUUAAACACCUUUCAUACUUGACUAUAUAGUAAUCUGCAUAAUCCCAUGAAUUGUUCUACACUGCACAACUAUCUGGAAGUUAAUAUUCAGUUCAUUGCUUUUCGCCUUAUAAUGAAAAGUAUACCAUGAUUUUCCUCCUGAAACUAAUAUAACCUUCUCAGUCUUUUUGAACUUGCGCACUCGCCUCCAAGUAUAGAGACUAAUAUUACAGAUUUUUAUAUUGCCUUGUAAUUGCACAUCCAAUUUGAGUCCUCCUUACAAACUCUUUUCUACUACCUGGUCAACUGCAUAAGAUGGAUAAGGCAUGGAUGCAUAUUGAGGAUAGAUUGCAUUCCAAUCAGUUCGCUGAAGGUGUUAGACAAUUCCUAGCUAUGGCGCGAGCCCACACACCUAGUUCUGAUCAGAUUAGGUGUCCAUGUAGGAGAUGCUGGAAUACAACUUUCCACCCCAUUCGUAUAGUUGAAGAUCAUUUGUUCUUCAAAGAUUGAAAGUAGUGGUCCACUUUAUCCAACCACUUGUACGGAUCUCCCCUACUAAACUUGGGAAAAUCAACUUUAGGUCUCUUAGGUCCCCAAUCAUAAGCCCGGUUUCCUCUUCUCUCAUCAUAGUGCUCAUCAUCAUAUCUUCUCUCAUGGUGUCUUCUUCCCUCAAAGUGGUCUCCAUGGCCAUAGGAACCAAUCCCUCAAGAGUGAUGCUUGAGGAAAAGGAACCAAUCUCCCUCAAACCUUAAAGGUGGAGGCUUGCCUAUAUCGUAGGAGCCAAGUGUUCUUUUGAGAUGUACAUAGUCUUUUUUCUAAAGGGCGACCACUUGUAUUUGGUCCAUUGUCCAUCAGGCGAUGAACGAACUGUUUGGGCUUGUACAUAUUUCAACAUUUGGAAUUAAUGAAGAAUGACAUUAAUUAUUCCUAUGUUGUGAAUUUAGAUUUUCUGGUACUGCAAGGUCUUAGUCACCAACUAAUCCUCUAUUUUUCUGUUGUGAGUUUAUGUCUGAAACUUGACAUGUGCACUUCCAUUUGGAGCUAGGCAUGCUAGAUUCUCGACCAACAUUAGGUGUUGGCACCCUUGGCACCACAGAUUCUUGCCAUGAUUUCUAUAAAGGAACGGGGUGCCAUGUAUUGUGUUGUAGCUUCUAGUAAGAUUGUAAAUGAAUCCAAAACCAAACUUACAUUCAACAGGAAUCCUAGUAACAUAUAUAAUAGAAGAAUCAAGGAGAUAUGGGGUGUGCAAGAGGCUAUGAGACAUGAAAUAUAUUGAGGUUUACUAGCUAUAAUUGGCAAAUCAAAGUUUAGAUCUUUGAGAGAUGUCAAAUAAGGGUUUGGAAAAAAUUACAAGGCAGGAGGAAAAGUUGAUAUCUCAACUAGGCCAAGAAGUAUUAAGAAAGGCAAUUGCAUGUUAAUGUUAUAGAUUCUCAAGCCAGCAUAGGAUGCAACUCUAAUGAUCAUGUAGGCCAUGACUUAAGUUAGAGCAUAUCCCCAGACAAUCCUAAUCCAUGCCAUGUUCAAUCUUCAAGAUCUUCACAGCCAACUCAACCUAUUAUCAAGGAUUCUACUGUCACAUACUAAGAUUGUAUUUAAUACUUUGUUUCCAUUUUUAGCUUGAUUGAUUUGUUGUACAGAAAUUAUUGUAUUUACUCAACUGCUAUAAUUACUCAUGAAGUUGGGUAUAUGUUUACUUUUAGCAUAUCAAUGAAAUCAUUGAGCUUUUCCUAGCAUCCUUUGUUUGUUUUCUUACAUGAUAUCAUGAGCCACACAUUUUAUACCAAUUUCGAUCCGAAUGGCUAAAAUCUCCUCUCACUUCUUCCUUUCUUAUCCCCAACAUUACACAAUUUAUCUCCAUUAAAAUUUUUUUUGAUCGGUAAUCAAGAAGUUUUAUUCAUCAUAAGUGGCAAAUCCCAAGUACAUAGGGCAUAUACUUGAAAGAUACCUAUCUAGAGUUUACAACCGAAAUAAGAAAGUCAUGAACAUUUAGUCCAUUACAUACAAUGGCUCCCACCCAAGAAAACAAAGUUUUGAAGAAAAAAACUUUCAGCUCCCCCAUUGUUCUCUCAUGGUCUUCAAAACUUCUGUCAAUUCUCUCUUGCCAUAUGCACCAACACAUGCAUAUGGGUACCAUUUUCCAUAUUGCUGCCACCUGUGAAUCUCCUCGUAGUCCACUCUAGCAAGCUAGAAAAUCCACCAAUCUAUGGGGCAUGACCUAUGCUACUCCAAGACCCGUAAAGAAAUCUGCCCACAUGGUCCUAGCCACCUCACAGUGUAGAAACAGAUGAUCAACUGAUUCUCCAUCUUUCUUGCACAUACAACACCAAUCCAUUACCAUUACCCGACGUCUUCUUAGGUUAUCUGUGGUGAGAAUUUUACCUAGUGCUGCUGUCCACACAAAGAACGCUGUUUUUGAAGGAGCUUUCGUCUGCCAAAUGCUUUUCCAAGGGAAAUUGAGCAUGCCUGGGCUGGAUAAAACUUUGUGAAACGAUCUGACCGUGAAUUUACCUUUCUUUGAGGGACUCCACAGUAUCCUAUCCAUGGAGUCCUCUGUCAUGUGUAUUGAAUACAGUGUUGCAUAGAAUUCUGUGAUAACCUCCAACUUCCAAUCUUGUGCUGCCCUAGAAAAUUCCACAUUCCAAUAAGGGACGCCAUUAGAGAAAACCAACAAAUCCGCUAUCAUUGCAUCCUUGACUCGUGCUAGCUCGAAUAUGGCGGAGAAGUUGUCUUUGAGGCUCCGUUCACCACACCAUUUGUCAUGCCAGAAUCUAACUCUCGAUCCAUCCCCCACUACAAUAUGAGUAUGUCUCCUGAAGGUCUCCCAACCGUUCCUAAUGUUCUUCCACAAGCCCACCCCAUGUGGUCCACGAACCUCAUUUGAACACCAACCACCCCAUGCCUUCCCAACACGUUCAGCUAUAACUGACUUCCACAGAGUGAGUCUAAAGACAUAAAGUAGGUGGGGAGGUUAGCUAAGGUAGUUUUAAUCAAAGUGAGUCUACCACCUUUAGAUAAAUACAACCUUUUCCACGACGGCAACCUUCGCUCCAUUUUUUCAUUCCAAAUCUGUUCAGAUUUGAAAGUGGCACCAAGGGUAAACCAAGAUGCUGCAAGGGUAGAGAAGAAACCUUACAUUGCAAUAGAGCAGCAAGACCCGCCACUUCAGGAACAUUCCCCACCGGUACCAAUUCAGACUUGGAUAGAUUUACUUUCAAACCUGAUACCGCUGCAAAACAGAGAAGUAACGCCCUCAAAGAUUGUAUGUGCCCAAGAUGUGCUCCACAGAAAAUGAAAGUAUCAUCAGCAAAUAACAAAUGGGAAAUGUAACUAGAACCAUUCCCCACUGAGAAACCAUAGAGAUGACCCGCUUCCACAAGCCCUUCAAUCAUCUUACUGAGAGCUUCCAUGACAAAAAGAAAGAGUAGCGGAGAGAGCGGAUCUCCCUGUCUCAAACCACGUGAGGAGUCAAAGAAACUCACCAGUGAACCAUUUACCAAGAUAGAGAAGCGAGUUGUUGAAAUGCAAAACUCCACCCAUUUUAGCCAUUUCUCUCCAAAGCCACAUCUUGCCAAUAAGUAAAGCAAGAAUUUCCAGUUAACAUGAUCAUAGGCUUUUUCCAUAUUUAGUUUGCAGAUCAACCCAGGCUCAUGGGCUUUGAUUCUUCCAUCUAGCACUUCGUUUGCAAUAAGAACCGAAUCUAGAAUUUGUCAGCCUUUGACAAAUGCAUUUUGUGGCUUCGAUAUUAAUCUCUCCAUUACUGUACUCAAACGAUUCGCUAGUACUUUGGAAAUAAUCUUGUAGACCCCAGUUAUCAAGCUAAUAGGACGAUAGUCUCGAACAUCUGUUGACCCCGCCUUUUUUGGGAUAAGUGCUAUAAAAGUGGCAUUGAGACUUUUUUCGAAACUGGCGUGAUUAUAGAAUUCUAGAAACACCUGCAUGAGGUCACCCUUGAUCACCUCCCAACAAGUUUGGAAAAAGCCCAUAGUAAAACCAUAAGGACCUGGGGCCUUAUCACUAGCCAUUCUUCGGAUAACUUUGUGUACUUCUUCUUCGUCAAAUGGUCUCUCAAGCUGCUCUAAAGACCGUUGAUCUAUUGUUGAGAAAGACAACCCAUCAACUGUAGGUCUCCAUUGUUGUUGUUCGACUAGUGAGUGUUCAUAAUACUGUGCAAUGUGGUCCUUGAUGCUUGCUUUAUCCGAACAGACUACUCCAUCCACCAUCAAUGUGUCGAUGGUGUUGUUCCUCCGAUGUGAAUUAGCCACCCUAUGAAAGAACUUCGUACACCUGUCCCCCUCCUUAAGCCAUAGUGCUCUGGAUUUCUGUCUCCAAGAUAUCUCCUCCAUCAAUAAAGCUUGUUCAAGAUCUGUGACUACCUGAUUCUUGUGGGUUUUUUCCGCUUCAGUGAGAACUCUUGCCUCCUACUCACCCUCCUGGCCCUGUAAUUCCUCCAUAAGGGAUCGUUGUUGUGAAAGCACAUUACCAAACACUUGUUCAUUCCAUAGCUUCAAAUCUUGUUUCCGUGCUUUCAAUUUUCUUGCCAAAAUGUAACUCGGAGAGCCUUGGAACACGUAAGAGGACCACCAUUGUCUGAUCCUGUCUACAAAACCAUAAGAUUUUAGCCACAUAUUCUCAAAUUUAAAAUACCUUCUGCCUCCUUGAAUACCUCCACAGUCUAAGAGGAUAGGGAAAUGAUCUGAGCACACUCUAUGUAGGCGUCUUUGGGUUACAUCAGGAUAAUGUAGGUGAGGAAACUACCUAGGUUACAUCAGGAUAAUGUAGACACCUCAAACUACCUUAUGUAAGGUAGAAACCUAGGUGUCCACCUUUCUACAUUAGGAUAAGGUAGAAACCUAGGUAGGUUACAUCAGGAUAAUGUAGGUGUCCACCAUUAAAAUUGACACCUCAAACUACCUAGGUUUCUCAAUUUUUGCCUAUCUUGCGCACCUAUGACCUCCUCGGCAUCGUAGAAGGCACAAAAUCCUGCCCUUGACAAUAUCUUCCUAUUUCCGAAGAUAAUCUUAUCCUCUAAUUCAAUCCAACCUUAGUCCUAUGGACCAAAAUGGAUCAGUUUAUGCUAAUGCCAGCCUCAUUGAAGGUGUCCUUUCCAUUGUCUAUGGUCUCAACACUUCUAAACAUGUAUGGACCUCACUUGUUGCUAGGUUGCUUCACAUUCAAGGUCUUAUAUAGCCUAGAUCAAAAGGAAACUCCAAACUCUCAAUCAAAACUCAAAAUCAUGCACUACAUCUCUUCUAUUGGCUAAACAAUAUGCUAACCAAUUGCUACCAUGGGCAAAUCUCUUAAAGAUGAUGAUCCCAUCUCCUAUAUUAUUAGUGGUCUCCACCCAACUUAUACUACCAUUGUGAUUUUAGUGGUUCACUAAAAUCAUUUUAGAAGGUGAUUCUUCUAGCAUUAUAGAUAGCCUUCAAAGAGAGUCUCCACUACUUUCUCAUCAGGGAUGCAUCUUGGAAUAGCUUAGAACACUCCUAACAAAUUUCAUGAAGUUUCCCAUGCCGGUAGAGAAGGGAAUGAAGCCACUCAUAUAAGUAUAUGCGCAAAAGGUUACAAGCAUAUCAAAAUCCAAGAUAGGCAACCAAAUCAUUCAAGUUGGACUGGCUCUUGAAGCACUUGUUGGAGUUUUAUCAUUGCUACAAUGGAGUGGUCUCAAUUGGUACCAAUGAGUAUUCUUCCCUAGAAAUUUUGUGUAAUACCAUCAGAGUGGGUUUGAGCUUAAAAAUUGAGAAGUGUUACAGACACAAAAAAGUUACACAAAAAUAAACCCAAAAAUAGUCAUGACUUCAUUUGAUCCAUUAGAUCUACUUUACGAUAAAAGUAACUUUACCAUCUUAGGUGCUACAUCAAGCCACGUCACUUUGCGAUUUUAAUUUUAUGCAAUUUCUUUAUAGUUAAAGUAUUUUUCUUAAAAUCCUGGGUUGUGAUGAUUACACUUGGAAGUUUUGAAGAAAAUAUCUGAAGCCUGAGGACAAGCUUCUUUCAAGGGUGUGAGAAUUAUUGUGUACCCAAAGUAGCCAGCUAAUCUACUGCCAACGGUCAGCCAUGAGACAUUAUAACCUUCCAUAGAAGAACCAACAAGUGACAAGAAGAUGGUAUAGGCCAAUGACACAUGUUCUUGGAGAUGGACCAAAUAGGAUUGCUGGCAACAGUAAUUUUAGAUAUCUAUAUUUUCUAGUUAUUUAAUGUAAAAUGUUAUCAGUUAUUAAGUCUUGAUACAUUAGGCUUAAGGGUUACUAUUAGUUAUGGGUAGUUUUUCUUUUUCUUUUUCUUUAUAUUUUUUUAUUUCUUUUAUGGGUAGUUAUCAUGGUUUCCUGUAUGUGUGUUUAAUCCGUUAGAGAGACGAAGAAUCUUUAGAAGAAAAUUGUGAGUUUAUGUAUUUGCGAGAGUGGCUUUUCCAACAAUUGAUUAUGUGCAAUUGUAGUAUAAUUAUUUUAGUUUUGUGUUGGUUUGGUACCUUUCAAAGAUGUUUCAAAACCCAUAAAUAAUUCAUGUUAACCUGAAAGGAAUUUCAAAUCAAAUCACAACAAUUGAUCAGAAUAAAUCCCAAAUCAAAUCCCUGAAAAAAAAAAAGCACCUUAUACGACUCAUUUCCCUCCCAGCAAUCCCCUGCUUUCUAUCUUCCCUCAUGGUGGGUUUUGUUUUUUCUAUCCUAAAUCCAAAGUGAAAGACAUUGCCACAGACUACAACCCACGCAAUGGAUAUCAAAAGAUUCGAUUUUGAUGGUUGCAAGUUUUACCGCUGAUGAUAUAUUGACAAAAGCUGAUCAUCCCAGCAAGAAAAGCAACUCGUAUCGUCUAGGCGUUGGCUAUUGAAAAGUAUGUACAAUGCCGCCAAUUUCAUAUCUGAGCCCUAUAUUUUUUUUUUAUUUGUUUAUUUCAUUUCGAAUGACCUUUUAGUUCCUUGGAAACUUUUGUAUGUGUGAUUGAAAUGGGUUUAUGUUAUAAAUUUGUAUGUGUUUUCAAUUAUGAACAUAGUAAUAAUAAGUUGAACAAAAGAGAAUUAUGGUAGUUCAGGAGCCAAGGAUCUUCAGAAACACUCGUGCAAAUAGGACUGAAAAGAUGAUUUUCAUUACAUUAGUCUGGUCCUCAAAUACAAGAUAAAAAUAACAGAAAGCCAAAAUAAUUGCAACAACUAAAAUUAUUGAAACGAGAGAGACACCCACGUGCCUUAGCGGUCAAAGACCUGUUCUAACUCCAGUCUAAGCACAUAAUUAAAACCAAUAGAACAUACUAACAAAAUUGACACUAAUAACCCAUUCAAUUAAAGGAAAUAAGACAGAAGAAGCACUGCACGUGGCAAGGCAAUCCGAAUCCUUCGUUCAGCUCCUAACACAGUCCCUCUUUUUAAAAUCCUUCCCCUCAUGGUCUGGAAACUUCUACCUGAGCUCAUCUAGAUCUUCCCACGUAGCAUCUUCAGGAGUAGCUCCCUUCCAUUGAAUCAAUAUAUCAACUCUACCUUGUGUUCCCUUCUCUUCCAUCCUUUUCGCUAAUACUUGGUUUAGUUCAGGAGAUAAGAGUCCCAUCCGACAUGAUGGAUGGAAGGUUGGGGAUGAGGUUAAUGUGAGGUCCAAGUUUCUUAUUAAGGAAUGAGACAUGAAAAACAGGAUAAAUUUGUGAGUCAAUUGGGAGAUUAAGCUUGUAUGCGACCUUAUAAAUUCAGUUGAUCACCUGGGAGGGACUGUAAUAUUUUGGGGAAAACUUCAAGUUCUGCAGGAGUGCCACUGUCAUUUGCCGAUAUGGUCGCAACCUCAGUGGAGCUUGGUUCAUAAGGUAGGAGACGUGGCAGUUGGUGACUGUAAACAAUCUCAAAGAGGCUGACUGGGUAAAGGUGUACGACCAUUCUGCCAAGGAAAACCAUCGUGCCCUAUUCUUCGGUCGGUCACCUAAGAAGCACGUGAGGUCCUAUACACAUGGCAUGGAAAGAUAUAUUGAAUUGAUGACCACCUCUAGAUUGAAGAGUGCCGUAUGCACUUCAUCCCACCAACUCAACCCAAGUCCAAAAAGGAGGCUAAAACCAAGAAGAGGCAUGUUGAAAAGAAAAACAAAUAAAUAUGGAAGUGCAUGCCGUGCCAUGCUUGACUUGGAGGAAGGAGUUUGGCAGCACCAACUUGAAUUCAACCAUCUAUAUAUAUAUAUAUAUGUGUGUGUGUGUGUGUGUGUGUGUGUGUGUGUGUGGCUGGACGGUGCAGUAGGUACAAGAGAGUGAGUUUUCAACCAAGAGAUUCCGUGCUUGAGCUUUCAACCAAGGGAUUCAUGAAAUGAAAAAGAGUAUCGGUGCAUGAGUAGGUGAGAAAUUGAAGAUGGAAGUCAACUGGAAUAACAUGAUUAAAGGGAAGUUGUUGGCUGAAACAUGAUCCCAUUAAAGUGAAGAGAACCGGUGCAUUUGAGCUACAUAAACAUAUGAAAAGCUAGAAAGUGAUCCGGUUAUUAAAUGAAGAAAAAGAUGGUCUAUUUGAGCUGCUGUCCACCGAAUUGUCUCCACCAAAUUUGACAUUAAAAAAGUCAUCAAAGGCUGCUGCCUUUCCACUGAAUUGAACAA
This is a long non-coding RNA of Carya illinoinensis, 11159 nucleotides long. RefSeq lists it as uncharacterized. The record is from RefSeq and is a predicted model, not a curated record. The transcript has 4 exons. Lineage: Eukaryota; Viridiplantae; Streptophyta; Magnoliopsida; Fagales; Juglandaceae.